This is an RNA transcript of Tarenaya hassleriana, 1557 nucleotides long. It is a transcript of the gene named bidirectional sugar transporter SWEET15-like, with no coding region annotated. The transcript has 7 exons. NCBI's taxonomy places the organism in Eukaryota, Viridiplantae, Streptophyta, Magnoliopsida, Brassicales, Cleomaceae. The record is from RefSeq and is a predicted model, not a curated record.
CCUCACUGAGAUGCCCAAAAUACAUCUAGAGAGAGAAGCAUAGAAGAGGGGGGAGAGAGAGAGCUUAUUAGAGUUUCGAAAAAAAUCUUGAGAUCCUUUAAUCUUCACCAUUAUUAUAUAUAUAAGCUUUUUUGUCUUGAUCAAGUUUUGAGUAACAAUGGCCUUGAUGAUCAAUCACCAUUUCAUGGCUGUUACCUUUGGAGUCUUAGGAAAUGCAAUAUCAUUCCUUGUAUUUCUCGCCCCAGCGCCGACGUUCUACAGGAUCUACAAGAAGAAAUCUACAGAGAGCUUCCGAUCAUUGCCGUACCAAGUUUCGCUCUUCAGUUGCAUGCUUUGGCUCUACUACGCGCUUCUCAAACGAAACGCCUUCCUUCUAAUUACCAUUAACUCCUUCGGAUGCGUCAUCGAGACCCUUUACAUCGCUUUGUUCUUCGCUUACUCCUCCAAGGACAAAAGGAUUUCGGCUAUGAAGCUAUUCAUGGCCAUGAACGUAGGUCUCUUCUCGUUGAUUCUCAGCGUUACGCAUUUUCUUGUGAAGAACCCUAACAGCCGGAUUGUGGUUCUUGGCUGGAUUUGCGUCUCGAUCUCUGUUUCCGUCUUCGCUGCUCCGCUUACUGUCGUUGCUCGUGUGAUACGGACAAAGAGUGUGGAGUUCAUGCCAUUCACGCUCUCAUUCUUCUUGACGAUCAGUGCCGUUAUGUGGUUCGCUUAUGGCUUGUUCCUCCGCGACAUAUGCAUAGCCAUCCCGAAUGUGUUAGGAUUCGCAUUAGGGAUGGUUCAGAUGAUUCUGUACGGAAUCUACAGGAACUCCGAAAAACCUAACUUGGAGAAGAAGGUUCCAGAUCAACAACAGCAGCUCAAGACGAUUGUGGUGUCGAGUCCGCUAGGUGUGUCCGAAGUAUACCCUGUCGACGUCACGUCUCAAUCGGACGGCGAUGAAGGGGAAAAGGUGACGCCACGUGGAGCAUCUGACGGUCAAGAUACUGCCAAAAUUAGCAAGGAGCCGUCAAGCGAAGGGGGCAAGCGCCACGUGGAGUGUGCCCCUCAAGAAGCUGUCUGAAAAGCGCCUCUUCAAACGUUUAGGGGCAAAAUUGGAAUUCUAAAAAAUAUCUCUCUCUCUCCGAUCUCCGGCGUCGGCUCCGUCACGGCGGGGGAAGAAAGUUACAUGUCUGUGGUAAUUAUUAUUCUAUUGGUGUUGAUGGAGUAUGUCAUGAUUUGACUGCCGUCUGUUUUCAAGGACCUAACAUGGAUCUGUGGCCAGCGAUUUGUGAUCCUUAGUGCGAUUGCGGUUGCGACUGUAACCGCCGUUUGAACAAAAUUGUAAGAGCGAUAAAAGCUGUUGCGUUUCACAAAACGCUGAACUAGUGGCGUUGAGGUUUGGAUGUUUUAAUCACAGCCCUUGAAUAUUUCAAGAUAUCAAUCAGCUUUCCAUUCCAUUUGGUUCAUUGGAGUCCAUUGAGAUCUUUAAGGAAUUAUUUCAGAAAUUAUUGAUAUUCCAAGGAAAACUUUAUUUCUAGUUGAUUUUCUUUUGGUAGAUUUUCGAUACAAAACUCUAUU